RNAcentral lists this ribosomal RNA (497 nucleotides) under uncultured bacterium. Its description in RNAcentral is "partial 16S ribosomal RNA". It matches the Rfam family "Bacterial small subunit ribosomal RNA", at positions 28 to 507 of the family's 1533-position model. The record is from RNAcentral.
GAUGAACGCUGGCGGCGUGCCUAAUACAUGCAAGUCGAGCGAACAGAUGAGGAGCUUGCUCCUCUGACGUUAGCGGCGGACGGGUGAGUAACACGUGGAUAACCUACCUAUAAGACUGGGAUAACUUCGGGAAGCCGGAGCUAAUACCGGAUAAUAUAUUGAACCGCAUGGUUCAAUAGUGAAAGACGGUUUUGCUGUCACUUAUAGAUGGAUCCGCGCCGCAUUAGCUAGUUGGUAAGGUAACGGCUUACCAAGGCAACGAUGCGUAGCCGACCUGAGAGGAUGAUCGGCCACACUGGAACUGAGACACGGUCCAGACUCCUACGGGAGGCAGCAGUAGGGAAUCUUCCGCCAUGGGCGAAAGCCUGACGGAGCAACGCCGCGUGAGUGAUGAAGGUCUUCGGAUCGUAAAACUCUGUUAUUAGGGAAGAACAAAUGUGUAAGUAACUAUGCACGUCUUGACGGUACCUAAUCAGAAAGCCACGGCUAACUACGUG